GAAAGCUAUUUAGGUAGCGCCUCGGACGAAUACUACUGGGGGUAGAGCACUGUUAAGGCUAGGGGGUCAUCCCGACUUACCAACCCUUUGCAAACUCCGAAUACCAGUAAGUACUAUCCGGGAGACACACGGCGGGUGCUAACGUCCGUCGUGGAGAGGGAAACAACCCAGACCGCCAGCUAAGGUCCCAAAGUAUUGCUAAGUGGGAAACGAUGUGGGAAGGCUCAGACAGCUAGGAUGUUGGCUUAGAAGCAGCCAUCAUUUAAAGAAAGCGUAAUAGCUCACUAGUCGAGUCGGCCUGCGCGGAAGAUGUAACGGGGCUAAGCAAUACACCGAAGCUGCGGCAAUAUCUUUUAGAUAUUGGGUAGGGGAGCGUUCUGUAAGCCGUUGAAGGUGAAUCGUAAGGUUUGCUGGAGGUAUCAGAAGUGCGAAUGCUGACAUGAGUAACGACAAAGGGGGUGAAAAACCUCCUCGCCGGAAGACCAAGGGUUCCUGUCCAACGUUAAUCGGGGCAGGGUGAGUCGACCCCUAAGGUGAGGCCGAAAGGCGUAAUCGAUGGGAAACGGGUUAAUAUUCCCGUACUUCUGACUAUUGCGAUGGGGGGACGGAGAAGGCUAGGUGGGCCAGGCGACGGUUGUCCUGGUUCAAGUGCGUAGGCUUGAGAGUUAGGUAAAUCCGGCUCUCUCUAAGGCUGAGACACGACGUCGAGCUGCUACGGCAGUGAAGUCAUUGAUGCCAUGCUUCCAGGAAAAGCCUCUAAGCUUCAGAUAGUCAGGAAUCGUACCCCAAACCGACACAGGUGGUCGGGUAGAGAAUACCAAGGCGCUUGAGAGAACUCGGGUGAAGGAACUAGGCAAAAUGGUACCGUAACUUCGGGAGAAGGUACGCUCUUGAUGGUGAAGUCCCUCGCGGAUGGAGCUGACGAGAGUCGCAGAUACCAGGUGGCUGCAACUGUUUAUUAAAAACACAGCACUGUGCAAAAUCGCAAGAUGACGUAUACGGUGUGACGCCUGCCCGGUGCCGGAAGGUUAAUUGAUGGGGUUAGCGCAAGCGAAGCUCUUGAUCGAAGCCCCGGUAAACGGCGGCCGUAACUAUAACGGUCCUAAGGUAGCGAAAUUCCUUGUCGGGUAAGUUCCGACCUGCACGAAUGGCGUAAUGAUGGCCACGCUGUCUCCACCCGAGACUCAGUGAAAUUGAAAUCGCUGUGAAGAUGCAGUGUACCCGCGGCUAGACGGAAAGACCCCGUGAACCUUUACUACAGCUUGGCACUGAACAUUGAACCUACAUGUGUAGGAUAGGUGGGAGGCUAUGAAGACGUGACGCCAGUUGCGUUGGAGCCGUCCUUGAAAUACCACCCUUGU
RNAcentral lists this ribosomal RNA (1361 nucleotides) under Vibrio cholerae. RNAcentral describes it as "partial 23S ribosomal RNA". It matches the Rfam family "Bacterial large subunit ribosomal RNA", at positions 861 to 2209 of the family's 2925-position model. Lineage: Bacteria; Pseudomonadati; Pseudomonadota; Gammaproteobacteria; Vibrionales; Vibrionaceae. The record is from RNAcentral.